Molecule: long non-coding RNA, 2271 nt
Organism: Panicum virgatum (switchgrass)
Lineage: Eukaryota; Viridiplantae; Streptophyta; Magnoliopsida; Poales; Poaceae
Exons: 4
Source: RefSeq, a predicted model, not a curated record
CCUUUAUGUGCAGCAGCCGUAGUUGAUGUCAUCACCCAUCCUCUAAUGGGCAGGAAUUUACUCUGCACUGUGCCAAACAGAAAUUUGUAUUUUUCAGAUAUGUGGCAUAACGAUGCCUAACAUCAAACAGGGGAUGUUCUAAUACAUAUUUUUGCUUACUAUGAGAAGAAGGUUUCAAUAUAUUUACAAACUAAUUGAUCAGUCCUUCAGAGGCUUCCAGGUUCAGCCGUGGUCAUCACGAGUACAAGCUGAUAAGAGCAACAACUGUAUGGAGCAUUGCAGGUUCUGUGAAUUGUGCUAAUAAAUAAUGGGUUAACAAGCAUGCCAUUGUCAGCAUUGAGUUCAUCUCCUGUUUACUCUUCCUGCUAUUCCAAGAAGAUUUGGAGAGGAAGGUUGUUUGUUCUUCCUGCCAUUCCAAGAAGAUCUGGAGAGGAAGGCUGAGGUGCUCUAGAAGAAAAUAUUUCUACUUUGGGGCCAUGUAAAUCACAGAAUCAAGUUAGCAUAAAUUAUUGGGAGCUCAUGAUUCUUUUUUGGACUAAUUUCAGGUUUCCACACUGAUACAACAUGAUUGACUAAUUUCAGCAGAAGGCACUGCAAGAUCCCAGAACAAGACGCUCGAGAAACGGGAUCGGCGGCAGCAAGGACACGAGGGCCGGAGGGGAGGAGCAACCAGAUGGAGGUGCGUGGUCAACCAUUCCCCUUUAGUUCAUGACUGCAGGCUAGGCGUCCGAACAAACAAAUUGAGCUGUAAAGGUGUAAAGAGUAGCCUAGACAAUCCUGUAAUUGUGUUUGAUGGGAUGGCUUGUCCAAAGUUAAACGAAAGAAUCAAUAUUGUUCUCUCUUCGUAAUCGCAUUGAAUCGUCUCUUUGGGCUGUUGUAAUACUUCAUUCGGAAGGGUAUUCUUCACCCGCAGGUUGCUCACAGAUAAUGCUGCUUUACUACGUUAGUUGCAGGUCACUUACUUUGCACAUACAUUGGAUUCAAACAUUGGCAGGCUUUGACUGAGCCUCUCGUUUGGAAUGUUGGUGGUAGGUUCCAAGAUGAGGCUCAAGAUGGAUAAUAUCUUUUGUUCUUCUAUUUUCAAUUUUUUUUGCUUCAUUUUCAUGUAUUCUUCUGCUCCUAAAUAAAGUUAUUUUUUCAUCUAUUGGUCUCUUAAAGCUAAGUUCGUUAGUUAGCAUUAGAAUUAUAAGGCCUUCUUUACAGUGCUGCAGUUUUUAGGUUUGUAGGUUGAGUAUUCUGGCCAUAUUUGCAUAAGAUGUUUCCGAAGUGAUCCAGGGGAUUCGAGAAUUCCACGCCGUGCAGGUUGAAUUUUGAUUGACCCAAGAUAUAUGCAGCAGAAUGCAUUGGUUAGGUGCGUGCUAGCGAGUUGCAUGCAGAAGAUGGGGGUUUUGUCCCACAUCGCCAACACAAGGCAUGAGCGAUCAGCUUAUAAGCGGGGGUUGUCGCUAUUAUUUUGAAAUUUUAAAACACGCACACUUGAGAAAUCGUCCUUGCAGAUCAGGUCCAUUUCUAGGUUCCUCACGUGUUGAGCCCGAUGAGGGCCCUUACCCCUCCAUAAGCAAUUUUUUUUACAAUCUUUUAAGCAUUUUCUUUUGCAGCAAUAAUAUCUUCCUUCCUUGCAGCUGUCACGGUGAUUCAUGCCCGUGUCCGUGUGGAGAUCUAACAAAAAUAGAAACUAUUUUUGCUCCCCAUACUUAAGUGCGUGUAUCUAUAUACAUUCAAAACUUGUAACUAGGGUGGAGAUAUUUGAAUUAAUGAGUUCCCUAAGAAGCAGCACAUACCAAAUUUAUUUAUGAUAAUUUUAGUAGUUCAUUUGAUGUAAUCCAAUUAUUUUAAGUAAUUUUGCUUUUUAAACACGUGCCACGUGUGUGCAUGCUGAAUGUUGUCACUUAUUAUGAAUUUACUUUAUGAAGACUCUUAUCAAUUUCAAAUAUCUGAAAUUUGAUGUCUCCUUACAAGAUGUAGAUGCUGAAUUUGAGCUUACAAGAAAGGUGGAUAAUGGAAAUAGGUUUGCAGAGAUUACCCAAAACAUUACCAACAUUACUGCAAAUGUGACAUCUGGAUGGAGCAUUUUGAAGGAAGAAUUCACAUUUCCAGCUAGGAGUACCCCUUUCAAUAGUUAUCAUGCUUCCACUAUUGUACAGAUUGAUGAAGGCUAUUUUUUGGUGGCAUAUUUUGGUGGAUCCAUGGAAGGUGCUCUGGAUGUCAAAAUUUGGUUGUAGUGAUAUAGUGUGGGUUCAAUUCAUCAAGUAUACUCAGUUUUUUUUAUGU